GGCGUGCCUAAUACAUGCAAGUCGAACGCUUCUUUUUCCACCGGAGCUUGCUCCACCGGAAAAAGAGGAGUGGCGAACGGGUGAGUAACACGUGGGUAACCUGCCCAUCAGAAGGGGAUAACACUUGGAAACAGGUGCUAAUACCGUAUAACAAUCGAAACCGCAUGGUUUUGAUUUGAAAGGCGCUUUCGGGUGUCGCUGAUGGAUGGACCCGCGGUGCAUUAGCUAGUUGGUGAGGUAACGGCUCACCAAGGCCACGAUGCAUAGCCGACCUGAGAGGGUGAUCGGCCACAUUGGGACUGAGACACGGCCCAAACUCCUACGGGAGGCAGCAGUAGGGAAUCUUCGGCAAUGGACGAAAGUCUGACCGAGCAACGCCGCGUGAGUGAAGAAGGUUUUCGGAUCGUAAAACUCUGUUGUUAGAGAAGAACAAGGAUGAGAGUAACUGUUCAUCCCUUGACGGUAUCUAACCAGAAAGCCACGGCUAACUACGUGCCAGCAGCCGCGGUAAUACGUAGGUGGCAAGCGUUGUCCGGAUUUAUUGGGCGUAAAGCGAGCGCAGGCGGUUUCUUAAGUCUGAUGUGAAAGCCCCCGGCUCAACCGGGGAGGGUCAUUGGAAACUGGGAGACUUGAGUGCAGAAGAGGAGAGUGGAAUUCCAUGUGUAGCGGUGAAAUGCGUAGAUAUAUGGAGGAACACCAGUGGCGAAGGCGGCUCUCUGGUCUGUAACUGACGCUGAGGCUCGAAAGCGUGGGGAGCAAACGGGAUUAGAUACCCUGGUAGUCCACGCCGUAAACGAUGAGUGCUAAGUGUUGGAGGGUUUCCGCCCUUCAGUGCUGCAGCUAACGCAUUAAGCA
Molecule: ribosomal RNA, 855 nt
Filed under: Enterococcus hirae
Lineage: Bacteria; Bacillati; Bacillota; Bacilli; Lactobacillales; Enterococcaceae
Description: bacterial SSU rRNA
Rfam family: Bacterial small subunit ribosomal RNA
Source: RNAcentral